RNAcentral lists this ribosomal RNA (429 nucleotides) under Chloroflexota bacterium. Its description in RNAcentral is "Chloroflexi bacterium partial 16S ribosomal RNA". It matches the Rfam family "Bacterial small subunit ribosomal RNA", at positions 355 to 776 of the family's 1533-position model. The record is from RNAcentral. Lineage: Bacteria; Bacillati; Chloroflexota.
UGGGGAAUAUUGCACAAUGGGCGCAAGCCUGAUGCAGCCAUGCCGCGUGUGUGAAGAAGGCCUUCGGGUUGUAAAGCACUUUCAGCGGGGAGGAAGGCGUUAAGGUUAAUAACCUUGGCGAUUGACGUUACCCGCAGAAGAAGCACCGGCUAACUCCGUGCCAGCAGCCGCGGUAAUACGGAGGGUGCAAGCGUUAAUCGGAAUUACUGGGCGUAAAGCGCACGCAGGCGGUCUGUCAAGUCGGAUGUGAAAUCCCCGGGCUCAACCUGGGAACUGCAUUCGAAACUGGCAGGCUAGAGACUUGUAGAGGGGGGUAGAAUUCCAGGUGUAGCGGUGAAAUGCGUAGAGAUCUGGAGGAAUACCGGUGGCGAAGGCGGCCCCCUGGACAAAGACUGACGCUCAGGUGCGAAAGCGUGGGGAGCAAACAGG